UUAGAGUUUGAUCAUGGCUCAGGAUGAACGCUGGCGGCGUGCUUAACACAUGCAAGUCGAACGAACCUUCGGGUUAGUGGCGGACGGGUGAGUAACGCGUGAGAAUCUGCCCUCAGGAGGGGGAUAACGGUUGGAAACGACCGCUAAUACCCCAUAUGCCUACUGGUGAAAUGAAUUUCGCCUGAGGAUGAGCUCGCGUCUGAUUAGCUAGUUGGUGAGGUAAUGGCUCACCAAGGCUUCGAUCAGUAGCUGGUCUGAGAGGAUGAUCAGCCACACUGGGACUGAGACACGGCCCAGACUCCUACGGGAGGCAGCAGUGGGGAAUUUUCCGCAAUGGGCGAAAGCCUGACGGAGCAACGCCGCGUGAGGGACGAAGGCCUCUGGGCUGUAAACCUCUUUUCUCAAGGAAGAAGAUAUGACGGUACUUGAGGAAUAAGCCACGGCUAAUUCCGUGCCAGCAGCCGCGGUAAUACGGGAGUGGCAAGCGUUAUCCGGAAUUAUUGGGCGUAAAGCGUCCGCAGGCGGCUUUUCAAGUCUGCUGUUAAAAAGUGGAGCUUAACUCCAUCAUGGCAGUGGAAACUGAAAGGCUUGAGUAUGGUAGGGGCAGAGGGAAUUCCCGGUGUAGCGGUGAAUGCGUAGAUAUCGGGAAGAACACCAGUGGCGAAGGCGCUCUGCUGGGCCAUUACUGACGCUCAUGGACGAAAGCCAGGGGAGCGAAAGGGAUUAGAUACCCCUGUAGUCCUGGCCGUAAACGAUGAACACUAGGUGUCGGGGGAAUCGACCCCUUCGGUGUCGUAGCUAACGCGUUAAGUGUUCCGCCUGGGGAGUACGCACGCAAGUGUGAAACUCAAAGGAAUUGACGGGGGCCCGCACAAGCGGUGGAGUAUGUGGUUUAAUUCGAUGCAACGCGAAGAACCUUACCAGGGUUUGACAUCCUGCGAACCUCUUAGAAAUUUGAGGGUGCCUUCGGGAAUGCAGUGACAGGUGGUGCAUGGCUGUCGUCAGCUCGUGUCGUGAGAUGUUGGGUUAAGUCCCGCAACGAGCGCAACCCACGUUUUUAGUUGCCAGCAUUUAGUUGGGCACUCUAGAAAGACCGCCGG
This 1100-nucleotide ribosomal RNA is filed under the name unidentified marine bacterioplankton. Its description in RNAcentral is "bacterial SSU rRNA". It matches the Rfam family "Bacterial small subunit ribosomal RNA", at positions 1 to 1155 of the family's 1533-position model. The record is from RNAcentral.